GGAUCGUUGCCCGAACCGGUAAGGGACCCCGUUGGAAGCGGGAGGUGCGCGAAAGCGUGAGCAGGUUCGAGUCCUGCACGAUCCGC
RNAcentral lists this transfer RNA (86 nucleotides) under Virus Rctr197k. Its description in RNAcentral is "tRNA-Ser". It matches the Rfam family "tRNA". From Rfam's summary of the family: Transfer RNA (tRNA) molecules are approximately 80 nucleotides in length. Their secondary structure includes four short double-helical elements and three loops (D, anti-codon, and T loops). Lineage: Duplodnaviria; Heunggongvirae; Uroviricota; Caudoviricetes. The record is from RNAcentral.